RNAcentral lists this ribosomal RNA (253 nucleotides) under uncultured bacterium. Its description in RNAcentral is "partial 16S ribosomal RNA". It matches the Rfam family "Bacterial small subunit ribosomal RNA", at positions 524 to 776 of the family's 1533-position model. The record is from RNAcentral.
UACGGAGGGUGCGAGCGUUGUCCGGAAUCACUGGGCGUAAAGGGCGCGUAGGCGGUCUGCUAAGCGUGUGGUGAAAGCUCGGGGCUCAACCCCGAGUCUGCCAUGCGAACUGGUGGACUUGAGCACUGUAGAGGCAGGUGGAAUUCCGGGUGUAGCGGUGGAAUGCGUAGAGAUCCGGAAGAACACCGGUGGCGAAGGCGGUCUGCUGGGCAGUUGCUGACACUGAGGCGCGACAGCGUGGGGAGCAAACAGG